GGUUCGAUGGUGUAAUGGUGAGCGCUCUGGACUCUGAAUCCAGAGGAGCUGAGCUCAAGUUUUGGUGGAACGU
Molecule: transfer RNA, 73 nt
Filed under: Loxodonta africana (African savanna elephant)
Lineage: Eukaryota; Metazoa; Chordata; Mammalia; Proboscidea; Elephantidae
Rfam family: tRNA
About the family: Transfer RNA (tRNA) molecules are approximately 80 nucleotides in length. Their secondary structure includes four short double-helical elements and three loops (D, anti-codon, and T loops). Further hydrogen bonds mediate the characteristic L-shaped molecular structure. tRNAs have two regions of fundamental functional importance: the anti-codon, which is responsible for specific mRNA codon recognition, and the 3' end, to which the tRNAs corresponding amino acid is attached (by aminoacyl-tRNA synthetases). tRNAs cope with the degeneracy of the genetic code in two manners: having more than one tRNA (with a specific anti-codon) for a particular amino acid; and 'wobble' base-pairing, i.e. permitting non-standard base-pairing at the 3rd anti-codon position.
Source: Rfam by way of RNAcentral